Molecule: long non-coding RNA, 2191 nt
Filed under: Pogona vitticeps (central bearded dragon)
Lineage: Eukaryota; Metazoa; Chordata; Lepidosauria; Squamata; Agamidae
Description: lncRNA (ENSPVIG00000025090.1)
Source: RNAcentral
AAGAUUUAAAAGCACAACCUUGAAAGUGUUUUGAAUUUGUCAAUCUGAGGAUUACCAGAUCCACCUUCUAUGUGUAUGGGGGGAGGUGUGUGUGUGUCUGUCUGUGUGUCUGUGUGUCUGUCUGUCUGUCUGUCUGUCUGUGUGUGUGUGCGCGUGUGUGCGUGUGCGCACGUGCUUGCACAUGUAAAUGGCCUCAUGAAAGUGGAGAAAGGAGGCUAUUUGUUAUAGCUUUCAUUUGGGAAUUAAUUGUGCAGCAGCAGUUCAGAUGUAACAGGCCAAAUCCAUGGUAACAAGAAAUCUAUUAAAGGGACAUAGAUUGCUUGUUUCCAGAAGGAACCCUUUAAUAUGGUUCUUAGGUUUCAUUUCAGACCUGUAUCCUCUAGAGGAAAUACUUAGUCUUCCUUGUAAGCAGAUUCUAAAACUGGCUGCAAUCUAUGUAGCUGCUCUCGCCAGAGUGCCUUUAAUCAGAUGCAGAUGUAUGCAACUCAUUGAGAUCCACUGGAGGCACAAAAACUGGGAAUUUGGCCAGCUUACCUCAAAGGCAGGUAAGAAGGAACCGGAGGGAAAGAACCCUGAUGGCUUCUGAGUCUUCCCUGUCCAUCAAAAUGGAGGCAACGCAUGCCAUUGGUGAACCCAGCCCCAUAAAAAUUAAUGGGCUUUACCCGAGAAGUCCUUGAAAAUUCAAGAUCUGAAGCAUCGCUAAAGAGAAAUGUACAGCACAUUAUUCAAAAAUGCUAAAGAGGCUUCCUUCCUAAAAUGAUGCCUUGUUUCCACCAGGGAGUCACCAGCUGUUGAGGAGGAAAACUGAGGCACUUCACCGGGACUCUUUAAAGACUUCACACUUUCUUGUCCUUUAGUUUUUAACCCCGAAGAUAAUGAAUUAUGGAAAGAAUGAGUUAAGACCCUUUCAUUCCAUGGGCAAAACGCAUCGGGGUUGCUUAGUGAAUAGCCGUGUAUUAGACCAGUGGUUCUUAACCUUGGGUUACUCAGGUGUAACCUCAACUCCUGGAAAUCCCAGUCAGCACAGCUGGUGGUGAAGGCUUCUGGGAGUUGCAGUCCAAAAACACCAGAGUAACCCAAGGUUAAGAACCGCUGUAUUAGACAAACUAGAAGAGGAGAGAGCUGGAGUUGCAGGUUGAUAAGGUUUUCUCGUGAGCUUGCCCAUAUUUAAUAACUGAAGAAAGACACGGGCUAAGUGACCCUGUGGUACCAUAGAUGGACAUUUAUCUAAGAAUGUAAAUCAUGAACUGGUUUGUCCUCACAUAGUAACAGGAAGAUGCAAAAAGAAAUCUGCUUUGUGAGACAGUGGGUUGUUCUUUCUGUUCUUUGUUUGGUUUCUGAGAUAAUUUGUGCAUUUGCAGGACUGACUUUCUGUGUCUUUGCACAAACUAAAAACAAUCUAACUGUGGCUCAUAAUGCUCCAGAUGCUUUUAAGAAGGAGAAGGCAUUGUUUGUGGCUUUGUGAGGUAUCAGCCUGCCCUUGUGCACUUUCUAUAUAUCUGUAUCUAGGUUUGGGGUUACCAGACGUUGGAGUUAGGGUGCCGCUCCACCCCAUGAAUGCCCCGGGCUCUUUGCUCUGCCCUGUGGUUGCUGUGGAGUGGCAGAAACAGCCAUGGUUUGGUUUGCAUUUUGGCAUUGGGGGGGGGGAUAUGGUGCAUAUCCCUACGAAACUGUACGAAGACCAUUAGCCCAAUCAUGCUGACAGCAGGUCUCUGGCAUGCUCUUUAUGGAAAAGGUCUUGAACCUUUAGCAUGCAUCUCAAAAACAUGUCCAUGUAGUUGUUGAUCAAUAAUCAUUCACAAUCAUUUACAUUGUAAACUCGGCCAUUCCUCUUUUUGAGUGUGUGGAUGGAAGGAUAGGGAGGUUGUGUACAGUGUGAAAUGUAAUUAUGGGAGUAACAUUUUCCUUCUACCAUCUCUACAUGAAGCUCUUAGCAGAUUAUUUUUUUAAAAAAAGGACAGGAAAUGUAGCUUUCUAUCUGCCAUUCAUCAGUCCCAUGCAAAUAUUCAAUCAAUGCCACUGGCAAUGUUAGCAUCUGAUACAUUGCCAAGAUAACAGUAUCCAAAAUGAGCAGAUGUGUGUGAUAACCCAAAAGCUGUACAAGAUUUUCCCGUCGGUGCCCAUGUUUAAUUUUUUUUAAUCCACUGCUAUCAUUAAAACUGAAAUAAAAUGUUUAAUAGGGCUGCUUUCA